CAGUAGCCGCGGGAAUACAGAGGGUGCGAGCGUUAAUCGGAUUUACUGGGCGUAAAGCGUGCGUAGGCGGCUUCUUAAGUCGGAUGUGAAAUCCCUGAGCUUAACUUAGGAAUUGCAUUCGAUACUGGGAAGCUAGAGUAUGGGAGAGGAUGGUAGAAUUCCAGGUGUAGCGGUGAAAUGCGUAGAGAUCUGGAGGAAUACCGAUGGCGAAGGCAGCCAUCUGGCCUAAUACUGACGCUGAGGUACGAAAGCAUGUGGAGCAAACAGGAUUAGAUACCCGUGUAGUCCCUGUCUCUUAUAC
Molecule: ribosomal RNA, 301 nt
Filed under: uncultured bacterium
Lineage: Bacteria
Description: partial 16S ribosomal RNA
Rfam family: Bacterial small subunit ribosomal RNA
Source: RNAcentral